RNAcentral lists this ribosomal RNA (425 nucleotides) under uncultured bacterium. RNAcentral's name for it is "partial 16S ribosomal RNA". It matches the Rfam family "Bacterial small subunit ribosomal RNA", at positions 354 to 796 of the family's 1533-position model. The record is from RNAcentral.
GUGGGGAAUAUUGGACAAUGGGCGAAAGCCUGAUCCAGCAAUGCCGCGUGAGUGAUGAAGGCCUUAGGGUUGUAAAGCUCUUUUACCCGGGAAGAUAAUGACUGUACCGGGAGAAUAAGCCCCGGCUAACUCCGUGCCAGCAGCCGCGGUAAUACGGAGGGGGCUAGCGUUGUUCGGAAUUACUGGGCGUAUAGCGCACGUAGGCGGUUUUGUAAGUUAGUGGUGAUAGCCUGGGGCUCAACCCCAGAAUUGCCUUUAAGACUGCAUCACUUGAACGUCGGAGAGGUGAGUGGAAUUCCGAGUGUAGAGGUGAAAUUCGUAGAUAUUCGGAAGAACACCAGUGGCGAAGGCGGCUCACUGGACGACUGUUGACGCUGAGGUGCGAAAGCGUGGGGAGCAAACAGGAUUAGAAACCCUUGUAGUCC